RNAcentral lists this ribosomal RNA (440 nucleotides) under uncultured Alphaproteobacteria bacterium. RNAcentral describes it as "bacterial SSU rRNA". It matches the Rfam family "Bacterial small subunit ribosomal RNA", at positions 338 to 795 of the family's 1533-position model. The record is from RNAcentral. Lineage: Bacteria; Pseudomonadati; Pseudomonadota; Alphaproteobacteria.
CCUACGGGAGGCUGCAGUGAGGAAUAUUGGACAAUGGGCGAAAGCCUGAUCCAGCCAUGCCGCGUGAGUGAUGAAGGCCUUCGGGUUGUAAAGCUCUUUCGACGGGGAAGAUAAUGACCGUACCCGUAGAAGAAGCCACGGCUAAAUUCGUGCCAGCAGCCGCGGUAAUACGAAUGUGGCAAGCGUUGUUCGGAAUCACUGGGCGUAAAGAAUGCGUAGGCGGCUUGACAAGUCAGAAGUGAAAUCCCAGGGCUCAACCCUGGAACUGCUUUUGAAACUGUUGGGCUAGUGUCCCGGAGGGGUUGAUGGAAUUCCGAGUGUAGAGGUGAAAUUCGCAGAUAUUCGGAGGAACACCAGUGGCGAAAGCGAUCAACUGGACGGGUACAGACGCUGAGGCACGAAAGUGUGGGGAUCAAACAGGAUUAGAUACCCCUGUAGUC